AGUGAACGCUGGCGGUAGGCCUAACACAUGCAAGUCGAACGGCAGCACAGUAAGAGCUUGCUCUUACGGGUGGCGAGUGGCGGACGGGUGAGGAAUACAUCGGAAUCUACUUUUUCGUGGGGGAUAACGUAGGGAAACUUACGCUAAUACCGCAUACGACCUACGGGUGAAAGCAGGGGAUCUUCGUACCUUGCGCGAUUGAAUGAGCCGAUGUCGGAUUAGCUAGUUGGCGGGGUAAAGGCCCACCAAGGCGACGAUCCGUAGCUGGUCUGAGAGGAUGAUCAGCCACACUGGAACUGAGACACGGUCCAGACUCCUACGGGAGGCAGCAGUGGGGAAUAUUGGACAAUGGGCGCAAUCCUGAUCCAGCCAUACCGCGUGGGUGAAGAAGGCCUUCGGGUUGUAAAGCCCUUUUGUUGGGAAAGAAAAGCAGCAGGUUAAUACCCCGCUGUUCUGACGGUACCCAAAGAAUAAGCACCGGCUAACUUCGUG
Molecule: ribosomal RNA, 492 nt
Filed under: uncultured bacterium
Lineage: Bacteria
Description: partial 16S ribosomal RNA
Rfam family: Bacterial small subunit ribosomal RNA
Source: RNAcentral